GAAGCAAGCUGAUCCCCUUCGGGGGUGACGCUUGUGGAAUGAGCGGCGGACGGGUGAGUAACACGUGGGCAACCUGCCUGUAAGACUGGGAUAACCCCGGGAAACCGGGGCUAAUACCGGAUAAUACUUUCUUUUGCAUAAAGGAAAGUUGAAAGGCGGCUUCGGCUGUCACUUACAGAUGGGCCCGCGGCGCAUUAGCUAGUUGGUGAGGUAACGGCUCACCAAGGCGACGAUGCGUAGCCGACCUGAGAGGGUGAUCGGCCACACUGGGACUGAGACACGGCCCAGACUCCUACGGGAGGCAGCAGUAGGGAAUCUUCCGCAAUGGACGAAAGUCUGACGGAGCAACGCCGCGUGAGUGAUGAAGGUUUUCGGAUCGUAAAACUCUGUUGUUAGGGAAGAACAAGUUGGGUAGUAACUGACCCAACCUUGACGGUACCUAACCAGAAAGCCACGGCUAACUACGUGCCAGCAGCCGCGGUAAUACGUAGGUGGCAAGCGUUGUCCGGAAUUAUUGGGCGUAAAGCGCUCGCAGGCGGUCCUUUAAGUCUGAUGUGAAAUCUCGCGGCUCAACCGCGAACGGUCAUUGGAAACUGGAGGACUUGAGUACAGAAGAGGAGAGUGGAAUUCCACGUGUAGCGGUGAAAUGCGUAAAGAUGUGGAGGAACACCAGUGGCGAAGGCGACUCUCUGGUCUGUAACUGACGCUGAGGAGCGAAAGCGUGGGGAGCGAACAGGAUUAGAUACCCUGGUAGUCCACGCCGUAAACGAUGAGUGCUAGGUGUUAGGGGGUUUCCGCCCCUUAGUGCUGAAGUUAACGCAUUAAGCACUCCGCCUGGGGAGUACGGCCGCAAGGCUGAAACUCAAAAGAAUUGACGGGGGCCCGCACAAGCGGUGGAGCAUGUGGUUUAAUUCGAA
This 917-nucleotide ribosomal RNA is filed under the name Oceanobacillus picturae. Its description in RNAcentral is "bacterial SSU rRNA". It matches the Rfam family "Bacterial small subunit ribosomal RNA", at positions 54 to 955 of the family's 1533-position model. The record is from RNAcentral. Lineage: Bacteria; Bacillati; Bacillota; Bacilli; Caryophanales; Bacillaceae.